Molecule: ribosomal RNA, 501 nt
Filed under: uncultured bacterium
Lineage: Bacteria
Description: partial 16S ribosomal RNA
Rfam family: Bacterial small subunit ribosomal RNA
Source: RNAcentral
GAUGAACGCUAGCGGCAGGCUUAAUACAUGCAAGUCGAGGGGCAGCACAGAUAGCAAUAUUGGGUGGCGACCGGCAAACGGGUGCGGAACACGUACACAACCUUCCUUUUAGUGUGGGAUAGCCCAGAGAAAUUUGGAUUAAUACCACAUAGUAUAUUGGAGUGGCAUCACUUUGAUAUUAAAGAUUUAUCGCUAAAAGAUGGGUGUGCGUAUGAUUAGGUAGUUGGUAGAGGUAACGGCUCACCAAGCCUUCGAUCAUUAACUGGUGUGCGAGCACAACCCGUCACCGGGCAACGGAGACACGGGCGCGACUCCUGCGGGAGGCAGAAGAAAGGAAUAUUGGUCAAUGGACGGAAGUCUGAACCAGCCAUGCCGCGGGAAGGAUGCCGGCCCUUUGGGUUGUAAACUUCUUUUAUGUGGGACGAAAAAGGGCCAUUUUUGGUCAACUGACGGUACCAUAGGAAUAAGCACGGGCUAACUCCGUGCCAGCAGCCGCCGUAA